CAGCGUUUCCCAGCUGGGUCAGAAGUAACGCAUCCCUAAGCUGCUCCAAGUAACAAUCCUGUUAGUGGACUGGAAAGCCGCUUGUUCUCAGACCAUUGAUUUCAAAGCUAGAAAACAGCAGGCACUGUGUUGGGAGUAAGGAAUGUGGAGUCAUCUCUUCCCUCAGAGAAACACUGACAAGUGUUAGCUCACAGACUUGUGUGCACAAAGAUGGAUCCUUGCAGUUGUCCACUGGAGCACUGUUUGAAGCAGCAAAAGGAACCAAGUCAACUUUCCCUGCGUAUGAAAAUGGCUAAAUAAAUGGUAAUUUAUUCAUAGAAAAGAAUAUAAUACAGCUAUUAAAAUCAUGAAAAAAGGUACAUGUUACACCAUGAGUAAAUCUCAAAAACAUCAGUUUAAAAAAAAAAAAGCAAGUAAAAGCAAGUAGCAAAAGUAUCCACACAGCCUGAUGCCAUUUACGUAGACCUUAAAGAUC
RNAcentral lists this long non-coding RNA (475 nucleotides) under Macaca mulatta (Rhesus monkey). Its description in RNAcentral is "lncRNA (ENSMMUG00000052268.1)". Lineage: Eukaryota; Metazoa; Chordata; Mammalia; Primates; Cercopithecidae. The record is from RNAcentral.